GAUCAUGGCUCAGGGCGAACGCUGGCGGCGUGCUUAACACAUGCAAGUCGAACGAUGACGAUGGUGCUUGCACCGUCUGAUUAGUGGCGAACGGGUGAGUAACACGUGAGUAACCUGCCCUCCUCUUCGGGAUAACCGCCGGAAACGGUGGCUAAUACCGGAUAUGAAUGCCUGCCGCAUGGUGGGUGUUGGAAAGAUUUAUCGGUGGGGGAUGGACUCGCGGCCUAUCAGUUUGUUGGUGAGGUAAUGGCUCACCAAGGCGAUGACGGGUAGCCGGCCUGAGAGGGCGACCGGCCACACUGGGACUGAGACACGGCCCAGACUCCUACGGGAGGCAGCAGUGGGGAAUAUUGCACAAUGGGCGAAAGCCUGAAUGCAGCGACGCCGCGUGGGGGAUGACGGCCUUCGGGUUGUAAACCUCUUUCAGUAGGGAAGAAGCGAGAGUGACGGUACCUGCAGAAGAAGCGCCGGCUAACUACGUGCCAGCCGCGGC
This 493-nucleotide ribosomal RNA is filed under the name uncultured bacterium. RNAcentral describes it as "bacterial SSU rRNA". It matches the Rfam family "Bacterial small subunit ribosomal RNA", at positions 15 to 518 of the family's 1533-position model. The record is from RNAcentral.